Molecule: ribosomal RNA, 374 nt
Filed under: uncultured organism
Description: partial 16S ribosomal RNA
Rfam family: Bacterial small subunit ribosomal RNA
Source: RNAcentral
GGGGGGGCAAGCGUUUGUUCGGAAUUACUGGGCGUAAAGGGCGCGCAGGCGGCCUGGCCAGUCCUACGUGAAAUCCCACAGCUCAACUGUGGAACUGCGUGGGAUACUGCCAAGCUUGAGUCCGGGAGAGGAGAGUGGAAUUCCCAGUGUAGCGGUGAAAUGCGUAGAUAUUGGGAGGAACACCGGUGGCGAAGGCGGCUCUCUGGACCGGCACUGACGCUGAGGCGCGAAAGCUAGGGGAGCAAACGGGGGAUUAGAUACCCCGGUAGUCCUAGCCCUAAACGAUGAGCACUUGGUGUGGCGGGUAUCGACCCCCUGCCGUGCCGAAGCUAACGCAUUAAGUGCUCCGCCUGGGGAGUACGGUCGCAAGGCUG